RNAcentral lists this ribosomal RNA (662 nucleotides) under uncultured bacterium. RNAcentral describes it as "bacterial SSU rRNA". It matches the Rfam family "Bacterial small subunit ribosomal RNA", at positions 142 to 790 of the family's 1533-position model. The record is from RNAcentral.
GAUAACAUUUGGAAACAGAUGCUAAUACCGUAUAAAUCCUAAAACCACAUGGUUUUAGGCUGAAACCCGGCUUCGGCUGUCACUUAGAGAUGGACCCGCGGCGUAUUAGCUAGUUGGUGAGGUAAUGGCUCACCAAGGCAAUGAUACGUAGCCGAACUGAGAGGUUGAUCGGCCACAUUGGGACUGAGACACGGCCCAAACUCCUACGGGAGGCAGCAGUAGGGAAUCUUCCACAAUGGACGCAAGUCUGAUGGAGCAACGCCGCGUGAGUGAAGAAGGCUUUCGGGUCGUAAAACUCUGUUGUUGAAGAAGAACACGUUUGAGAGUAACUGUUCAGACGUUGACGGUAUUCAACCAGAAAGCCACGGCUAACUACGUGCCAGCAGCCGCGGUAAUACGUAGGUGGCAAGCGUUAUCCGGAUUUAUUGGGCGUAAAGCGAGCGCAGGCGGUUUUUUAAGUCUGAUGUGAAAGCCCUCGGCUUAACCGAGGAAGUGCAUCGGAAACUGGGAAACUUGAAUGCUGAAGAGGACAGUGGAACUCCAUGUGUAGCGGUGAAAUGCGUAGAUAUAUGGAAGAACACCAGUGGCGAAGGCGGCUGUCUGGUCAGUUAUUGACGCUGAGGCUCGAAAGCAUGGGUAGCGAACAGGAUUAGAUACCCUGG